RNAcentral lists this long non-coding RNA (2241 nucleotides) under Brassica rapa (field mustard). RNAcentral's name for it is "long non-coding RNA (BRAP_LNC000011)". Lineage: Eukaryota; Viridiplantae; Streptophyta; Magnoliopsida; Brassicales; Brassicaceae. The record is from RNAcentral.
CCACAUCUCCUCAAAAUCUGGAUUUAUACUGAUUUAUACAACACCAGGAACCUGCAAUCCAACAAAAAAGAUACCAGCAAUGGACCGUAAAAAAAAGAAGAAGUAUUGACGUAUCAAAAUGUUUUUUUUACCUUUCGAAUUCUUCGCUUCAAGUCUCUCUCUAUCACAAGUAGCCACCAUGAAGCACUUAUGCUGUAUACAAACAAGAACAAAGUAUAUCAAUGAAAACAUAGAAAAGACUAAUGACCUCUCUAACGAUCCAAUGGAACCUAAUUAACCUCUCUAACAAUCAUUCAAAUAGACAGGACGCUCGCUAGUUUCUAAUUGUUUCCACACUAUGAAUAUACUACACUUGUCGCCUCAAAACGUGACGGAUGUUCCUUAUCUCUCUCUCCAGUCCAAACAUCAGAGGCGUUUGUGAAUUCAAAAAAAAAAGGCUUACAUUCGAUUCAUGAUGGCAUUGCUGCUGUCCUCAACGCCAGUGUUUCAGCUUCUCCUUCAACUGGAAACACAGGAAAGAGAGCCAGUGGUCAAAGAAUAUUUACAAAGUGUGAAGUUGGGUUUAAUUAGUUGAAAUAUCUAUGGAAACCUGAAUACUUAAACAGCUUCUCGAGUCCAUGUCUUUGCAUAUGUUAGCAACGAAGAGGGAUGGUGGUAUCAUUAUCUUGUCUUGCGGUUGUUACACCACACAUCUUACCAUUGAUCUGCAGUCCCAAUGACCAAGAGAUUCCAUCAAUAUAUACAAUUUAUAAAAGCUACACAAACUCUGCAUCAAAUACUAAACUGUAGACGAUUACCAUUGGGUAACUGUAACAGCUUGCACAACGCACACACACAAAAGCAUGGUGCUCUUCUUCCACAUCCAUCAGCUCUCACUCUCAAGCUCCUCCUGACCAUCUCCAAUCUCGCCGGCAAACUCACAAGAUCCUUCCUCAUCACAUGAUUGCACGGAAACAAACAAAUAUAUGCACAUCAUCAUCACAUGAGAUUGCAAACAAGCAAAAUAAAAAAAAAAACAUUGAAAACAAGAGGGUAAAAUUGUAUAUUUGCCAAGGAUUGAUAGGAAUAACAAAGCGAUCUCAUAAGUGUAAAAGUCAAAUAGAACCUAACUUCUCUAACGAUCAUUCAAAUAGACAGGAUGCUAGUUCCUAAUUGUUUCUACAUUAUGAAUAUACACAUAAGCUUCUUCCUUUUCAAUCUAAGAAAAUAUAGAAUAUUGCCAAGAACUGAUAGGAAUAACAAAAUGAUCUCAUAAGUGUUAAGUCAAAUGGAACCUAACCUCUCUAACAAUCAAGUAAAUGACAGGACGCUAGUUUCUAAUUGUUUCCACAUUAUGAAGAUACACAUAAGCUUCUUCCAUUUUCAAUCUAAGCAAAUAUAGAAUAUUGCCAAGAACUGAUAGAAAUAACAAAAUGAUCUCAUAAGUGUUUCCACAUUAUGAAGAUACACAUAAGCUUCUUCCAUUUUCAAUCUAAGCAAAUAUAUAAUAUAUGCCAAGAACUGAUAGAAAUAACAAAGUGUUCUCAUAAGUGUAAAUUCAAAUGGAACCUAACCUCUCUAACAAUCAUUCAAAUAGACAGGAUGUUAGUUUCUAAUUGUUUUCACAUUAUGAAUACAUAAAGCUUCUUCCAUUUUCAAUCAAAGUAAAUAUAGAAUAUUUGCCAAGAACUGAUAGAAAUAACAAAGUGAUCUCAUAAGUGUAAAAGUCAAAUGGAACAUAAGCUCUAACUAUCAAUCAAAUGAUGGGACGCUAGUUUCUAAUUGUUUCCACACUAUGAAUAUACACAUAAGCUUCUUCCUUUCUCAAUCCAAGUAAAUAUAGAAUCUCCCCAAAAAAAAAAAGAUUUGAAAAAAACAGAAAAAGAACGAAAUUAGGUACCUUGAGCAAUGGGGAUUCUCAUCUUUUCUUCCACCAUCUGUUAUCUCUUGAAUCUUCUUGGCAAACUUCUUCCUCUUUCACCUUAACUCUUUGCUGCAGAGAAACAAAACACCAACCAAACAGUCAGGACUCACUCAAUUUCUACAAUAAUCCGUAAAUUUUUCAAUAUUUUUGAUCAGAGAAACUCAUACCUCUCAGUUCUGAAUUUCAAUGAAGUGAUCUUAACCUGCUUCUUCUUUGAUUUUCUGCUUCCUUCCCACUCUCAAAUCACUGAAACACCAUCAGAUCAAACAAGUCAGAAGACUAUAAAACUAACAGAUAUUGAGUCACCAACGAGCUAAUCUAGUAUUGUUGCUGGCUGG